GACGAACGCUGGCGGCGUGCCUAAUACAUGCAAGUAGAACGCUGAAGGAGGAGCUUGCUCUUCUGGAUGAGUUGCGAACGGGUGAGUAACGCGUAGGUAACCUGCCUGGUAGCGGGGGAUAACUAUUGGAAACGAUAGCUAAUACCGCAUAACAGUAGAUGUUGCAUGACAUUUGCUUAAAAGGUGCAAUUGCACCACUACCAGAUGGACCUGCGUUGUAUUAGCUAGUUGGUGGGGUAACGGCUCACCAAGGCGACGAUACAUAGCCGACCUGAGAGGGUGAUCGGCCACACUGGGACUGAGACACGGCCCAGACUCCUACGGGAGGCAGCAGUAGGGAAUCUUCGGCAAUGGACGGAAGUCUGACCGAGCAACGCCGCGGGAGUGAAGAAGGUUUUCGGAUCGUAAAGCUCGGUUGUAAGAGAAGAACGAGUGUGAGAGUGGAAAGUUCACACUGUGACGGUAGCUUACCAGAAAGGGACGGCUAACUACGUG
Molecule: ribosomal RNA, 495 nt
Filed under: uncultured bacterium
Lineage: Bacteria
Description: partial 16S ribosomal RNA
Rfam family: Bacterial small subunit ribosomal RNA
Source: RNAcentral